AUGCUGCUAGGCUGCGGGUCGCUCUCCUCGUGGGUGCGCCGCCUCGUCGCCUGCGUGGGAAAUUGUUUUGGAUGUGCGAAGUCUACUCCUAUAACAGCUGUUGAUGAGCCUUCUAAAGGUUUAAGGAUUCAAGGGCGCUCGAUUAAACAUCGUAGUUUGUCUGAAGAUUUUUGGAGUACAAGUCCACGUGAAAUGGAGAACAGUGCCUUGCAGUCACAGCGUAGUAUGUCUUCCAUCAGCACAGCAGCACAAUCUAGUGAGCAGCAUGGAGCUGGAAGUAGCAGCAACCCAAAUGAGUUUGUAAAUCAAGGUCUUCUACUCUGGAACCAGACUAGACAGCAGUGGGUUGGAAACAGAAGGCUUAAUUCUCAGCGUCAAAAGACCCGGGAGCCAAAAAUAGGUUGGAAUGCUACAUAUGAGAGCCUGCUAGGAAGCACCAAGACAUUUGCACAGCCGAUCCCUCUUGGUGAAAUGGUAGAUUUCCUCGUGGACGGCUGGGAGCAGGAGGGCCUAUAUGAUUAG
RNAcentral lists this ribosomal RNA (522 nucleotides) under Triticum aestivum (bread wheat). Its description in RNAcentral is "partial small subunit ribosomal RNA". Lineage: Eukaryota; Viridiplantae; Streptophyta; Magnoliopsida; Poales; Poaceae. The record is from RNAcentral.